This 2553-nucleotide long non-coding RNA is filed under the name Citrus sinensis (sweet orange). RNAcentral's name for it is "long non-coding RNA (CSIN_LNC003415)". The record is from RNAcentral. Lineage: Eukaryota; Viridiplantae; Streptophyta; Magnoliopsida; Sapindales; Rutaceae.
CCAUUGAAAUUCCAGAUGGAUUGGGGGAUAAACUUAGUAGAUUGAAACUUCUGUUUAUUAGUACUGGCAAAAUUUCUCCCAUUACGAUAAAUCUAGCACAGAAUCAGAGUACAGAGCUCUGGCACUGGGUACAACUGAGGUUUUGUGGAUUCAAGCCUUACUUACUGAAUUAAAGUUUAAAACGGAAACAACUCCAGUUAUGUGGUGUGACAAUCAGAGUGCUAUAUCGUUGGCUACUAAUCCAGUUUACCAUGCAAAGACCAAACACAUUGAGCUUGAUAUUCAUUUUAUUAGGGAGAAAAUUGCAGCAAAACAAAUUUCAAUCAGCUUUGUUCCCAGUGAGGAUCAAACAUCUGAUGUUCUUACUAAAGCUCUGACAUAUGGCCAAUUUCAGUAUCUUAGAUCCAAGCUGAAUGUUCUUCCUGGACCAUUCAGCUUGAGGGGGGAUGUCAGCAUAUGUGCUGAAACAGAGCUAUAGCGUGGGCUUACUAGAAGCAACUAGAUGCACACACAACAGAUACUUCCUCAUGCUGAGCUGGCAGAAUUCUAGUAGCUUCAAUUAGUUAUUCCAGCUGCUAUAUAAACUGUAGUGAACAUUCAUUUCGUGUGUGUAACAAUAAUAAAAGAUCGAGAUUCUUCUUCAAACUUUCCUCUCGUUUUCUUGUUAUUUUCUUACUUAACAAACACAUUCUUUUACAUUUUCUCACAUGGGCAGUGGAAGAAGGCCUAGAACAAUAUAGAGGAAUUUCUUUGGUGGGAAAUGAAAUAGUAGAGCUUCCUAGCGGUUUGGUAUGCCCUAGCCUUCAUAUUUUACGACUGGAGAAUACUCUAGAUGGCAAAAAAUUGCGAGUUCCAGAAUUUUUUUUAAAGAGAUGUCAGCACUGAAAGUUGUUACUAUAAUAGGUGGAGUCCUUUCAGUUAAAUCACUUCAAUUCCUCGCCAAUAACCUUCGAGUUCUACAGUUGAUUUGAUGUGAGGUGACUGACGCGUCUUUCCUUGGAAAGUUGAAGAGACUUUAAAUACUUUAUCUCGAGGAGUCUCCCAUUGAAAUUCCAGAUGGAUUGGGGGAUAAACUUAGUAGAUUGAAACUUCUGUUUAUUAGUACUGGCAAAAUUUCUCCCAUUACGAUAAAUAAAUUUCCUCAAUUAGAAGAAUUUUAUGGUUGGAUAAAAAAUUGGGAGGUUGAAGGGAUGAGUUCAGAAGAAAGUUACGCUAGGUGUGCUGAGUCGGACUCCCAACCCGACGGAUCUGUUGUAUGUCUUCCAAAUGACUUUUCAUUUCCGAAAUUACAAAGGUAUGGCAUCGCGGAAUUUGGCACUUUAUAUGACUGUGAUAGAUGGAGAAAGAUCUUAGACGCUUUAUGUGACAUUGAUAGAGGGACAAGGUGCUUAAUCAUUGAGAAUAACCGUCCUAAAGCGACGCUAGGAAUUUUUUCAGCACUGUAUCAAAAUCUGGAAAUUCUUUAUUUAAGUGGGGUAACAAGUUGUCAUAAUAUUGUGCCAAGCAUAGAUGAACGAGGCUUAAAUGAGUUGACUCCUCUUGAUGUCGGCGGUUGCGAAGAUUUAGAAUGCAUAAUGGAUGCCUCUAAGUCGCCGCAUGGAAAGAGUGGGAAUCCUGUGAUGCUCUCAAGAUUAGUAGAGUUAUAUAUGAGGGGAUUACCAGAACUGAAGUGGAUAUGGAAGGCGCCCGGCCAACAUGUGAUCAACCUCCAAUCUCUUACAUAAUUAAAAGUGUCACGGUGCAACAAUUUGACAUAUAUCUUCACGUUGUCACAAGCUCGAAGUUUGGUGCAGCUUAAAAGUCUGAAAGUGAGUUACUGUGAGAGACUGGAAUGUAUCGUUGAAGCAAAAUUUGAUCAUAAUGAGAGGUAAAUAAGUGUAGGAGAUGGAAAUACAAUACUUGGGCUCCCUUCGUUGAGAAAAUUAAGAUUUAAAGAUCUCCCCGAACUCAUCAGCUUCUGUUCAAAAAAUUAUUAUUCAACUUGGCCGGCAUUGGAAGAGUUAGAUGUAAGGAGAUGUCCUAAAUUGACCGUCAACAGUACUGAACUUGAAGCCAAUUUGCAGUAUCUUGGAGAGGUAUGUUCGCUUGUGUUUACGUUUUUUUCUUUCUUUUCCUUUAAUUUUACUCAAAAAGAUAGUUUAUCAAAAACUUUUGUGAUCAGUCAUUCAUAUCACCUUGCAUUUGGCGUGUUGAGAUGAAGAUGACGGUGGUGGUAGUGGUGAUGAUAAUAAUAACGAUCCAGUAUCUUGAGCAAAUUUCUUUGUUUUAGGGCCUAAAAUUCAUUUUUUAAAUAAAAUUCAUAUCUCGUUUUACUUUAUAAUAAAAAAAUGGAUGCAAGGACUUGUAAAGUAUGUAUAUUAUUAGUCAAAUUCAAUUCAUUAGUUAAUUUUACCAUAGAAAUACUAUACUAAUUUUUCUCAAACAAAACGAUGUCACUAUUAUAUCACUUCACAUGAUCUCUUUCAACGGAUUUCUUUUUCUUUUUUAUAAAUUCCUUACUUUCACAAAGUAUAAUUAUUUUAUAAGUUUACAUGUGUAGUAUUAUAUUUUUGU